This 744-nucleotide ribosomal RNA is filed under the name uncultured bacterium. Its description in RNAcentral is "bacterial SSU rRNA". It matches the Rfam family "Bacterial small subunit ribosomal RNA", at positions 8 to 796 of the family's 1533-position model. The record is from RNAcentral.
AGAGUUUGAUCAUGGCUCAGAACGAACGCUGGCGGCAGGCCUCAAACAUGCAAGUCUAGGGGGUGUAGCAAUACAUCACCGGCGGACGGGUGCGUAACACGUGGGAAUAUACCUUUUGGUUCGGAACAACGCAGGGAAACUUGCGCUAAUACCGAAUGUGCCCUUACGGGGAAAGAUUUAUCGCCAAAGGAUUAGCCCGCGUCCGAUUAGCUAGUUGGUGAGGUAAUGGCUCACCAAGGCUCCGAUCGGUAGCUGUUCUGAGAGGAAGAUCAGCCACACUGGGACUGAGACACGGUCCAGACUCCUACGGGAGGCAGCAGUGGGGAAUCUUGCGCAAUGGGCGAAAGCCUGACGCAGCGACGCCGCGUGAGCGAUGAAGGCCUUCGGGUUGUAAAACUCUUUCGACGGGGACGAUAAUGACGGUACCCGUAGAAGAAGCUCCGGCUAACUUCGUGCCAGCAGCCGCGGUAAUACGAAGGGGGCUAGCGUUGUUCGGAAUUACUGGGCGUAAAGCGCGCGCAGGCGGUCUUCCAAGUCAGUGGUGAAAGCCCGGAGCUCAACUCCGGAACUGCCAUUGAAACUGUAAGACUUGAGGAUGAGAGAGGUGAGUGGAAUUCCCAGUGUAGAGGUGAAAUUCGUAGAUAUUGGGAAGAACACCGGUGGCGAAGGCGGCUCACUGGCUCAUAUCUGACGCUCAGGCGCGACAGCGUGGGGAUCAAACAGGAUUAGAUACCCUAGUAGUCC